GUCUACGGCCAUGCUACCCUGAACAAGCCUGAUCCUGUCUGAUCUUGGAAGCUAAGCAGGGUUGGGCCUGGUUAGUAUUUGGAUGGGAGACCACCUAGGAAGACCAGGUGCUGUAGACA
Molecule: ribosomal RNA, 119 nt
Filed under: Pteropus alecto (black flying fox)
Lineage: Eukaryota; Metazoa; Chordata; Mammalia; Chiroptera; Pteropodidae
Also listed under: 1 other name
Source: RNAcentral